RNAcentral lists this ribosomal RNA (435 nucleotides) under uncultured Oscillospiraceae bacterium. RNAcentral describes it as "bacterial SSU rRNA". It matches the Rfam family "Bacterial small subunit ribosomal RNA", at positions 341 to 792 of the family's 1533-position model. The record is from RNAcentral. Lineage: Bacteria; Bacillati; Bacillota; Clostridia; Eubacteriales; Oscillospiraceae.
ACGGAAGGCAGCAGUGGGGAAUAUUGGGCAAUGGGCGAAAGCCUGACCCAGCAACGCCGCGUGAAGGAAGAAGGCCUUCGGGUUGUAAACUUCCUUUACCAGGGACGAAUAAUGACGGUACCUGGAGAAAAAGCAACGGCUAACUACGUGCCAGCAGCCGCGGUAAUACGUAGGUUGCAAGCGUUGUCCGGAUUUACUGGGUGUAAAGGGCGUGUAGGCGGAGCUGCAAGUCAGAAGUGAAAUCUCCGGGCUUAACCCGGAAACUGCUUUUGAAACUGUUGCCCUUGAGUAUCGGAGAGGCAGGCGGAAUUCCUAGUGUAGCGGUGAAAUGCGUAGAUAUUAGGAAGAACACCAGUGGCGAAGGCGGCCUGCUGGACGACAACUGACGCUGAGGCGCGAAAGCGUGGGGAGCAAACAGGAUUAGAUACCCUGGUA